This 357-nucleotide long non-coding RNA is filed under the name Nicotiana benthamiana. RNAcentral describes it as "long non-coding RNA (NBEN_LNC008257)". Lineage: Eukaryota; Viridiplantae; Streptophyta; Magnoliopsida; Solanales; Solanaceae. The record is from RNAcentral.
UAGAUCAAGAAGUACAAAACACCAUCACAGAUGACGCUUUCAUCCCCACCUCUCCACCCAGUUAGGACCUCAGUCAAAGGGGUUACCCACAUCAUUUUUCCAGAGUCGUAUAUGUGGAUUGAGAGAUCCCACUGAAAGAAGUUACCAGGUACUUGCUUAGAUUUAAUAAUGGUGACACUGUAACAGCAAUUUCCAGAGUCGUAUAUGUGGAUUGCGACAUCCCACUGAAAGAAGUUACCAGGUACUUGCUUAGAUUUAAUAAUGGUGACACUGUAACAGCAAGUUUUCUUGUUUACGGAGAUAGCCAAUGCACUGUAAUCAGAGAACUUGAAACCAGGAGGCUCAUCAAGGGUCUUG